RNAcentral lists this ribosomal RNA (216 nucleotides) under Glomeromycotina sp. Its description in RNAcentral is "partial small subunit ribosomal RNA". The stretch from base 40 to 216 matches the Rfam family "Eukaryotic small subunit ribosomal RNA", at positions 686 to 864 of the family's 1831-position model. Lineage: Eukaryota; Fungi; Glomeromycota. The record is from RNAcentral.
GGGUCAGUAGGUUGGUCCUGCCACCGGUACGUACUGGUCUCACUGAUUCCUCCUUCCUGAAGAACCGUAAUGCCAUUAAUUUGGUGUUGCGGGGAAACAGGACUGUUACUUUGAAAAAAUUAGAGUGUUUAAAGCAGGCUAACGCUUGAAUACAUUAGCAUGGAAUAAUGAAAUAGGACGAUCGAUCCUAUUUUGUUGGUUUCUAGGAUUGACGUA